Molecule: non-coding RNA, 93 nt
Organism: Caranx melampygus (bluefin trevally)
Lineage: Eukaryota; Metazoa; Chordata; Actinopteri; Carangiformes; Carangidae
Source: the annotation of a GenBank genome assembly
GGUUCCAUGGUGUAAUGGUUAGCACUCUGGACUUGGAAUCCAGCACUCUGGACUUUGAAUCCAGCAAUCUGAGUUCAAAUCUUGGUGGAACCU